Non-coding RNA from Canis lupus familiaris (dog), 125 nucleotides. NCBI's taxonomy places the organism in Eukaryota, Metazoa, Chordata, Mammalia, Carnivora, Canidae. The record is from RefSeq and is marked provisional.
UGAGUAACAUGCCCGGAGGCACAGAGCUAGUAAUUGGCAGAGCCAGGAUUCAAGCCCAGCGAGGCUGCUCCAGAACCCGGGCUCUUGCCAGCUCCGCAGGCUGUCUCCUAGGAGUUGUUCGAGGG